AGUGGAUGGGGAGCAACCUAGUUGUGCGCGUGUAAAGGUAGUGCCAAGAAAAGCGAUGAUCAUGUUGAAAAUCAAUUCCCGGUACCCGAAACCGACACAGGUGGGCAAGUAGAGAAUACUAAGGGGCGCGAGGUAACUCUCUCCAAGGAACUCGGCAAAAUGACCCCGUAACUUAGGGAGAAGGGGUGCCACCGAGAGGUGGUCGCAGUGAAGAGGCCCAGGCGACUGUUUAGCAAAAACAUAGGUCUCUGCAAACUCGAAAGAGGAGGUAUAGGGGCUGACGCCUGCCCAGUGCCGGAAGGUUAAAGAAGUUGGUCAGUUUUAGGAUGAAGCUAGCGACUGAAGCCCCGGUGAACGGCGGCCGUAACUAUAACGGUCCUAAGGUAGCGAAAUUCCUUGUCGGGUAAGUUCCGACCCGCACGAAAGGCGUAACGAUCUGGGCGCUGUCUCGGAGAGAGGCUCGGCGAAAUAGGAUUGUCUGUGAAGAUACGGACUACCUGCAUUUGGACAGAAAGACCCUAUGAAGCUUUACUAUAGCUUGGAAUUGUGUUCGGGCUUCCUGUGCGCAGGAUAGGUGGGAGGCGUAGAAGGUAUUCUUGUGGGGAUACUGGAGCCAACGGUGAGAUACCACUCUCAGGAGGCUAGAAUUCUAACUUAAUUAAGGACAGUUUCUGGUGGGUAGUUUGACUGGGGCGGUCGCCUCCAAAAAGGUAACGGAGGCGUACAAAGGUUCCCUCAGACUGGUUGGAAAUCAGUCGAAGAGUGCAAAGGCAGAAGGGAGCUUGACUGCGAGAAGUACAGUUCGAGCAGGGUGGAAACACGGUCUUAGUGAUCCGACGGUGCUGUGUGGAAGGGCCGUCGCUCAACGGAUAAAAGUUACUCUAGGAUAACAGGCUGAUCUCCCCCAAGAGUUCACAUCGACGGGGAGGUUUGGCACCUCGAUGUCGGCUCAUCACCCUGGGGCGGAAGUACGUCCCAAGGGUUGGGCUGUUCGCCCAUUAAAGCGGUACGUGAGCUGGGUUCAGAACGUCGUGAGACAGUUCGGUCCAUAUCCGAUGUAGGCGUGAGAAUAUUGAGAGGAGCCUUCCUUAGUACGAGAGGACCGGGAAGGACGCACCGCUGGUGUACCUGUUAUGAUGCCAAUUGUAAACGCAGGGUAGCCAAGUGCGGAGAGGAUAACCGCUGAAAGCAUCUAAGUGGGAAGCCCACCUCAAGAUGAGUAUUCUGGUGUAAGGUCACGGGAAGACGACCCGUAAAUAGGCACGAGGUGGAAGUGCAGAGAUGUAUGAAGCCGAAGUGUACUAAUAGACCGUCGGCUUGACC
Molecule: ribosomal RNA, 1323 nt
Filed under: metagenome
Description: bacterial LSU rRNA
Rfam family: Bacterial large subunit ribosomal RNA
Source: RNAcentral